GCAUCCAUGGUGUAGUUGGUUAUCACGUUCGCCUCACACGCGAAAGGUCCCCAGUUCGAACCUGGGUGGAUGCA
Molecule: non-coding RNA, 74 nt
Organism: Raphidocelis subcapitata
Lineage: Eukaryota; Viridiplantae; Chlorophyta; Chlorophyceae; Sphaeropleales; Selenastraceae
Source: the annotation of a GenBank genome assembly